Molecule: ribosomal RNA, 301 nt
Filed under: uncultured bacterium
Lineage: Bacteria
Description: partial 16S ribosomal RNA
Rfam family: Bacterial small subunit ribosomal RNA
Source: RNAcentral
CAGUCGCCGCGGUAAUACGUAGGUGGCAAGCGUUGUCCGGAAUUAUUGGGCGUAAAGCGCGCGCAGGCGGAUAGGUCAGUCUGUCUUAAAAGUUCGGGGCUUAACCCCGUGAUGGGAUGGAAACUGCCAAUCUAGAGUAUCGGAGAGGAAAGUGGAAUUCCUAGUGUAGCGGUGAAAUGCGUUGAGAUCGGAAAGAACACCAACGGCGAAAGCACUCUACUGGGCCGACACUGACACUGAGAGACGAAAGCUAGGGGAGCAAAUGGGAUUAGAUACCCCCGUAGUCCCUGUCUCUUAUACA